ACCAGAUGGGAUUAGCUAGUAGGUGGGGUAACGGCUCACCUAGGCGACGAUCCCUAGCUGGUCUGAGAGGAUGACCAGCCACACUGGAACUGAGACACGGUCCAGACUCCUACGGGAGGCAGCAGUGGGGAAUAUUGCACAAUGGGCGCAAGCCUGAUGCAGCCAUGCCGCGUGUAUGAAGAAGGCCUUCGGGUUGUAAAGUACUUUCAGUGGGGAGGAAGGCGAAGAAGUUAAUAACUUUUUCGAUUGACGUUACCCGCAGAAGAAGCACCGGCUAACUCCGUGCCAGCAGCCGCGGUAAUACCCGAGGCGUGCAAGCGUUAAUCGGAAUUACUGGGCGUAAAGCGCACGCAGGCGGUCUGUCAAGUCGGAUGUGAAAUCCCCGGGGCUCAACCUGGGAACUGCAUUCGAAACUGGCAGGGCUAGAGUCUUGUAGAGGGGGGGUAGAAUUCCAGGUGUAGCGGUGAAAUGCGUAGAGAUCUGGAGGAAUACCCGGUUGGCGAAGGCUGGCCUCCUG
RNAcentral lists this ribosomal RNA (517 nucleotides) under Erwinia persicina. RNAcentral's name for it is "bacterial SSU rRNA". It matches the Rfam family "Bacterial small subunit ribosomal RNA", at positions 230 to 731 of the family's 1533-position model. The record is from RNAcentral. Lineage: Bacteria; Pseudomonadati; Pseudomonadota; Gammaproteobacteria; Enterobacterales; Erwiniaceae.